RNAcentral lists this ribosomal RNA (800 nucleotides) under uncultured bacterium. RNAcentral's name for it is "bacterial SSU rRNA". It matches the Rfam family "Bacterial small subunit ribosomal RNA", at positions 8 to 817 of the family's 1533-position model. The record is from RNAcentral.
AGAGUUUGAUCCUGGCUCAGAAUGAACGUUGGCGGCGUGGAUUAGGCAUGCAAGUCGAGCGAGAACCAGUCUUCGGAUUGGGGACAGCGGCGAACGGGGUAGGAAUACCUCGGUACGUACCCCCUGAUCGGGGAUAGCGGCGGGAAACUGCCGGUAAUACCCGAUGAUAUGCGCAAGCAUCAAAGGUGUGAUUCCGUCGGGGGAGCGGCUGAGGUCGUAUUAGCUUGUUGGUGGGGUAACGGCCUACCAAGGCGAUGAUGCGUAGGGGGUGUGAGAGCAUGGCCCCCACCACUGGCACUGAGACACUGGCCAGACACCUACGGGUGGCUGCAGCCGAGAAUCUUCGGCAAUGGGCGCAAGCCUGACCGAGCGACGCCGCGUGCGGGAUGAAGGUCUUCGGAUUGUAAACCGCUGUCGGAGGGGAUGAAAUGCCGGUGGGUACUCCCAUCGGUUUGACAGAGCCUCGGAGGAAGCACGGGCUAAGUUCGUGCCAGCAGCCGCGGUAAUACGAACUGUGCGAACGUUAUUCGGAAUCACUGGGCUUAAAGGGUGCGUAGGCGGCGGCACAAGUCAGGUGUGAAAUCCCCCGGCUCAACCGGGGAACAGCGCUUGAAACUAGGUCGCUCGAGUGAGGCAGGGGUGUAUGGAACUUCCGGUGGAGCGGUGAAAUGUGUAGAUAUCGGAAGGAACGCCGGCGGCGAAAGCGGUACACUGGGCCUUGUCUGACGCUGAGGCACGAAAGCUAGGGGAGUGAACGGGAUUAGAUACCCCGGUAAUCCUAGCCGUAAACACUGAGCACU